This 430-nucleotide unclassified non-coding RNA is filed under the name Hevea brasiliensis (rubber tree). Lineage: Eukaryota; Viridiplantae; Streptophyta; Magnoliopsida; Malpighiales; Euphorbiaceae. The record is from RNAcentral.
CACCAUCUCAACCUUCAUUGGUAUCUCAAUCAAUUCUACCUUCUGUGUCAUCAUUGCAGUCCUCACCACAAUUGGUGUAUCCACCAGCUGUCCCUCAAGAAUAUUGUAAUUGCAGUACAUCCAGUGGUAAUCAACUUGCUCAAAUGUCUGGAAAUAUUCAUGGGAAUCUUAUGGAUGCUGGUGUAAAAAGUGAAUGGUUUCCCCAGAAGUCUCCUUCCUUCACUUCUGCAGCAGUUUGCAGUUCUAGAGAAUCUUUAGGAUAUAUUCCUUCAAGGCAAUUGGAAUAUGGACAUAAUGACCUGUAUUUAAAUCCCCAAGCUUCUCAACAAAGCCCACAUUUUCAACCAGGAAGUACACCUUUCACACAAAGACCUUUGCAUCCAACCCUGCCACAAACUGCAUCUGGUCAAUUUUCUUUUGCAAAGCCUGC